AACGGACGCUGGCGGCAGGCCUAACACAUGCAAGUCGAGCGCGCCCUUCGGGGUGAGCGGCGGACGGGGGAGUAGCGCGUGGGAACGUGCACUUUUCUAUGGAAUAGCCUUGGGAAACUGAGAGUAAUAGCGAAUAGGCCCUUAGGGGGAAAGAUUUAUUGGAACAGGAUGGGCCCUCGUUGGAUUAGGUAGUUGGUGGGGUAAUGGCCUACCAAGCCGCCGAUCCAUAGCUGGUUAGAGAGAAUGAUCAGCCACUCUUAGACUGAGACACGGCCCAGACUCCUCCGGGAUGCAGCAAUGGGUAAUCUUAGACCAUGGGGUCAAUCCUGAUCGACCCAGGCCGCGUGAGUGAUGAUGGCCUUAGGGUUGUAAAGCGCUUUCAACUGGGAAGAUAAUGACGGUACCAACAGAAGAAGCCCCGGCUAACUCCGUG
RNAcentral lists this ribosomal RNA (433 nucleotides) under uncultured bacterium. RNAcentral describes it as "partial 16S ribosomal RNA". It matches the Rfam family "Bacterial small subunit ribosomal RNA", at positions 29 to 507 of the family's 1533-position model. The record is from RNAcentral.